RNAcentral lists this ribosomal RNA (1372 nucleotides) under uncultured bacterium. RNAcentral's name for it is "bacterial SSU rRNA". It matches the Rfam family "Bacterial small subunit ribosomal RNA", at positions 28 to 1381 of the family's 1533-position model. The record is from RNAcentral.
GAUGAACGCUGGCGGCGUGCCUAAUACAUGCAAGUCGAGCGAACGGACGAGAAGCUUGCUUCUCUGAUGUUAGCGGCGGACGGGUGAGUAACACGUGGAUAACCUACCUAUAAGGCUGGGAUAACUUCGGGAAACCGGAGCUAAUACCGGAUAAUAUUUUGAACCGCAUGGUUCAAAAGUGAAAGACGGUCUUGCAGUCACUUAUAGAUGGAUCCGCGCUGCAUUAGCUAGUUGGUAAGGUAACGGCUUACCAAGGCAACGAUGCAUAGCCGACCUGAGAGGGUGAUCGGCCACACUGGAACUGAGACACGGUCCAGACUCCUACGGGAGGCAGCAGUAGGGAACCUUCCGCAAUGGGCGAAAGCCUGACGGAGCAACGCCGCGUGAGUGAUGAAGGUCUUCGGAUCGUAAAACUCUGUUAUUAGGGAAGAACAUAUGUGUAAGUAACUGUGCACAUCUUGACGGUACCUAAUCAGAAAGCCACGGCUAACUACGUGCCAGCAGCCGCGGUAAUACGUAGGUGGCAAGCGUUAUCCGGAAUUAUUGGGCGUAAAGCGCGCGUAGGCGGUUUUUUAAGUCUGAUGUGAAAGCCCACGGCUCAACCGUGGAGGGUCAUUGGAAACUGGAAAACUUGAGUGCAGAAGAGGAAAGUGGAAUUCCAUGUGUAGCGGUGAAAUGCGCAGAGAUAUGGAGGAACACCAGUGGCGAAGGCGACUUUCUGGUCUGUAACUGACGCUGAUGUGCGAAAGCGUGGGGAUCAAACAGGAUUAGAUACCCUGGUAGUCCACGCCGUAAACGAUGAGUGCUAAGUGUUAGGGGGUUUCCGCCCCUUAGUGCUGCAGCUAACGCAUUGAGCACUCCGCCUGGGGAGUACGACCGCAAGGUUGAAACUCAAAGGAAUUGACGGGGACCCGCACAAGCGGUGGAGCAUGUGGUUUAAUUCGAAGCAACGCGAAGAACCUUACCAAAUCUUGACAUCCUUUGACAACUCUAGAGAUAGAGCCUUCCCCUUCGGGGGACAAAGUGACAGGUGGUGCAUGGUUGUCGUCAGCUCGUGUCGUGAGAUGUUGGGUUAAGUCCCGCAACGAGCGCAACCCUUAAGCUUAGUUGCCAUCAUUAAGUUGGGCACUCUAAGUUGACUGCCGGUGACAAACCGGAGGAAGGUGGGGAUGACGUCAAAUCAUCAUGCCCCUUAUGAUUUGGGCUACACACGUGCUACAAUGGACAAUACAAAGGGCAGCGAAACCGCGAGGUCAAGCAAAUCCCAUAAAGUUGUUCUCAGUUCGGAUUGUAGUCUGCAACUCGACUACAUGAAGCUGGAAUCGCUAGUAAUCGUAGAUCAGCAUGCUACGGUGAAUACGUUCCCGGGUCU